AAAGGGUUAUAAACAGCGGGAGUGCCUGAGCGAGUAGCUGUGGGGGGGCUGCUGGGCCCGGCGGCAUACUGCGCUGCUGCGGCGUAAGUGGUGGUGGAGGGCUGGGCCUCCUCAGGAAGUGAACCUGCCCUGGCGGACUGAAGGGGGCGGCCCAGGCUCGCUGAAGGCUUGUUCCUCCGGGUCGAUUGGUGAAGCGAGCCGGAUCUUGUGCGGGAACCCGGCGGUGGUGACUGGACCGGUGGGAUCGUCGGGGUGGCCGAGCGGUAGGAGGAUGCUGGAGAAGAUGGCAGUCUUGCCGGGGGUGGUGAAGGCUGGCCUCGGCGUCUUGGUGCGCACAGGUCUGAUCAGGCCGGUGUGCGGCCGCGAGGAGAAGCCUGGGGCUCAGGUGCGACGUCCGGCGUAGGAAUGAUGGUCGUGUGGCCGUUGGAAUGCGAAGGUGCAUCCCCGGCGAUAUUCACUUCUUCAUCAGAUGAAGAGCUUGGUUUUCUCGACAUGGUUCGCAGAGAGGAGAGCUGAAGAGCUGUUGACUGCUGAAAACUGUCAAUGAACAGAGGUAGGUUCUGCUGUUAUUUAUACCUUGGCGUGAGUUGAUUACUGAUUGGUCUCCACUUGUGUUAAUCAGGUUAAUGAACUGCGACUGUUCCUCCCGAACUUUGUUAUAAAACAGCAUAUAGUGAUUAAUAUUAUUAUUACUGUUGUAGUUGUUGUUGUCUGAAAUUGAACACCUUUGCAAUGUAAACAAAUGAGAGGCUACAUGUGUUAUUCUUACCUGUUGUGCUCUUCAUGAACCAGCUGCAUAGGGAUACACUGCCUUUUGCUGCCUCAAGCAGCUCCUUCUUUUUCUGUUUUUUUAUCCUCUCUUUGCGAGGCAUCUUUGCACUGCAGAACACACACACAAACACAAAAGGACAUUUCAUACCUUUUCCUGAAACCUACUAGGGUCACAUCUCCUUUACACUGCACUUUGAUGUCAGGUCAGGUAUAUUAUUCAUUUUAUAUUGACAUUGAUAUUGUUACAUUUAUUUCCAGAGAGAUAUUAUUGAGUUUAGAGGCUAAAGUGGUCUUGCUGUUGUAAACACUGUUGCUAUUGUAGAAAAAAAGUGUCACAUUUAAAAUAUUAUUAUAUUUUAAUUCAUUUCUGAAUUGUUUUUAUUUUUAUAAUGAUAAUUCAGAGAAUGAGAAUAAGCCUUACCAGUGUUGUGAUAAUUAUUUUUAAGGCACUCUACGUUUAAAAAAAAAAAAAAUACUGUAAUAUAAUAAUAGUUUAGUCAAAUAACAUAAAAAAGACCAGACCCCUCGAUGCCUGUGAAACUUUUCUCCCUCAAACAGCACGCUAACAUUACUUCUACACUACAGGCUACACACCGCAAUAUAAACAACAUAUCUGCAUGUCCUCACAUCACAUCGUUCUUGUAAAAUAAUAAUAAGUAAAUAAACAUCAAAAUCACUUCGCUGAGAAUGAAACA
Molecule: long non-coding RNA, 1466 nt
Organism: Cyprinus carpio (common carp)
Lineage: Eukaryota; Metazoa; Chordata; Actinopteri; Cypriniformes; Cyprinidae
Source: Ensembl